Molecule: ribosomal RNA, 443 nt
Filed under: uncultured bacterium
Lineage: Bacteria
Description: partial 16S ribosomal RNA
Rfam family: Bacterial small subunit ribosomal RNA
Source: RNAcentral
CCUACGGGAGGCAGCAGUGGGGCAUAUUUGGCCAUGGGCGCAAGCCUGACCCAGCAACGCCGCGUGAAGGAAGAAGGCUUUCGGGUUGUAAACUUCUUUUCUCAGGGACGAGGAAAGUGACGGUACCUGAGGAAUAAGCCACGGCUAACUACGUGCCAGCAGCCGCGGUAAUACGUAGGUGGCAAGCGUUAGCCGGAGUUACUGGGGGUAAAGGGCGUGUAGGCGGGACUGCAAGUAAGAUGUGAAAACCACGGGCUCAACCUGUAGCCUGCAUUUGAAACUGUAGUUCGUGAGUACUGGAGAGGCAGACGGAAUUCCUAGUGUAGCGGUGAAAGGCGUAGAUAUUAGGAGGAACACCAGUGGCGAAGGCGGUCUGCUGGACAGCAACUGACGCUGAGGCGCGAAAGCGUGGGGAGCAAACAGGAUUAGAUACCCUGGUAGUC